This 77-nucleotide transfer RNA is filed under the name Holosporales bacterium. Its description in RNAcentral is "tRNA-Arg". It matches the Rfam family "tRNA". From Rfam's summary of the family: Transfer RNA (tRNA) molecules are approximately 80 nucleotides in length. Their secondary structure includes four short double-helical elements and three loops (D, anti-codon, and T loops). Lineage: Bacteria; Pseudomonadati; Pseudomonadota; Alphaproteobacteria; Holosporales. The record is from RNAcentral.
GCGCCCGUAGCUCAGCUGGAUAGAGCGUCGCCCUCCGGAGGCGAAGGCCGGGGGUUCGAAUCCUCUCGGGCGCGCCA